AACGGAUAAAAGGUACUCCGGGGAUAACAGGCUGAUACCGCCCAAGAGUUCAUAUCGACGGCGGUGUUUGGCACCUCGAUGUCGGCUCAUCACAUCCUGGGGCUGAAGUAGGUCCCAAGGGUAUGGCUGUUCGCCAUUUAAAGUGGUACGCGAGCUGGGUUUAGAACGUCGUGAGACAGUUCGGUCCCUAUCUGCCGUGGGCGCUGGAGAACUGAGGGGGGCUGCUCCUAGUACGAGAGGACCGGAGUGGACGCAUCACUGGUGUUCGGGUUGUCAUGCCAAUGGCACUGCCCGGUAGCUAAAUGCGGAAGAGAUAAGUGCUGAAAGCAUCUAAGCACGAAACUUGCCCCGAGAUGAGUUCUCCCUGACCCUUUAAGGGUCCUGAAGGAACGUUGAAGACGACGACGUUGAUAGGCCGGGUGUGUAAGCGCAGCGAUGCGUUGAGCUAACCGGUACUAAUGAACCGUGAGGCUUAACCUUACAACGCCGAAGGUGUUU
Molecule: ribosomal RNA, 498 nt
Filed under: Escherichia coli
Lineage: Bacteria; Pseudomonadati; Pseudomonadota; Gammaproteobacteria; Enterobacterales; Enterobacteriaceae
Description: partial 23S ribosomal RNA
Rfam family: Bacterial large subunit ribosomal RNA
Source: RNAcentral